This 253-nucleotide ribosomal RNA is filed under the name uncultured bacterium. RNAcentral's name for it is "partial 16S ribosomal RNA". It matches the Rfam family "Bacterial small subunit ribosomal RNA", at positions 524 to 776 of the family's 1533-position model. The record is from RNAcentral.
UACGUAGGGUGCGAGCGUUAAUCGGAAUUACUGGGCGUAAAGCGUGCGUAGACGGUCAUGUAAGUCGAGUGUGAAAGCCCCGGGCUCAACCUGGGAAUUGCAUUCGAGACUGCAUGGCUAGGAUGCGGAAGAGGGAAGCGGAAUUUCCGGUGUAGCGGUGAAAUGCGUAGAUAUCGGAAGGAACACCAGUGGCGAAAGCGGCUUCCUGGUCCAGCAUCGACGUUCAGGCACGAAAGCGUGGGGAGCAAACAGG